UGUCUUGCCUCACCUUGAUGUCCUCGUUCUUUAUGCUGGACACGCUGGUGACUUUCCUCUUGAUGUUCUCCAGGAGGUGCUCCUGGCCACGGAUGAAAUAGGGGUGCUGGAACUCAGUGUCGUCCUUCUCUGGCUUCACCAACCCUCCCUGCUCGAUGUGCACCACCUUCCGGAAGCCAUACAUGUUGAGCUGCCGCACGAAGCUGGCCAUGUUGUUGUGCUUGAAGUACUU
Molecule: long non-coding RNA, 232 nt
Filed under: Gallus gallus (chicken)
Lineage: Eukaryota; Metazoa; Chordata; Aves; Galliformes; Phasianidae
Source: RNAcentral